Molecule: ribosomal RNA, 520 nt
Filed under: uncultured Glomus
Lineage: Eukaryota; Fungi; Glomeromycota; Glomeromycetes; Glomerales; Glomeraceae
Description: SSU rRNA
Rfam family: Eukaryotic small subunit ribosomal RNA
Source: RNAcentral
AGCAGCCGCGGUAAUUCCAGCUCCAAUAGCGUAUAUUAAAGUUGUUGCAGUUAAAAAGCUCGUAGUUGAAUUUCGGGAUCAAAUUGUCGGUCGUGCCUCGGUACGUACUGGCGUUAUUGGUUCCUCCCUUCUGAAGAACCGCGAUGUCAUUAAUUUGGUGUCGCGGGGAAUCAGGACUGUUACUUUGAAAAAAUUAGAGUGUUUAAAGCAGGCUCGCGCUUGAAUACAUUAGCAUGGAAUAAUGAAAUAGGACGUUUGAUUCUAUUUUGUUGGUUUCUAGGAUCGACGUAAUGAUUAAUAGGGAUAGUUGGGGGCAUUAGUAUUCAAUUGUCAGAGGUGAAAUUCUUGGAUUUAUUGAAGACUAACUACUGCGAAAGCAUUUGCCAAGGAUGUUUUCAUUAAUCAAGAACGAAAGUUAGGGGAUCGAAGACGAUCAGAUACCGUCGUAGUCUUAACCAUAAACUAUGCCGACUAGGGAUCGGAUGAUGUUAAUUUUUAAUGACUCAUUCGGCGCCUUACG